Molecule: ribosomal RNA, 630 nt
Filed under: uncultured soil bacterium
Lineage: Bacteria
Description: bacterial SSU rRNA
Rfam family: Bacterial small subunit ribosomal RNA
Source: RNAcentral
AUGCAAGUCGAGUGCGCGUCCGUAGCAAUACGGAUGGCGCACGGCGCACGGGUGCGUAACACGUGGGCAAUCUGCCCUCGGAUGGGGGAUAACCCCGCGAAAGCGGGGCUAAUACCGCAUGACAUUCCGAAGACUCCGGUCUUUGGACUCAAAGGCCGCAAGGCCGUCUGAGGAGGAGCCCGCGCCCGAUUAGCUAGUUGGCGGGGUAACGGCCCACCAAGGCUUUGAUCGGUAGCCGGUCUGAGAGGAUGGCCGGCCACACUGGAACUGAGACACGGUCCAGACUCCUACGGGAGGCAGCAGUGGGGAAUAUUGCGCAAUGGGCGAAAGCCUGACGCAGCGACGCCGCGUGGGGGAUGAAGCUUCUCGGAGUGUAAACCCCUUUCGACCCGGACGAAUGACCCGCAAGGGUUUGACGGUACGGGUAUAAGAAGCCCCGGCUAACUACGUGCCAGCAGCCGCGGUAAUACGUAGGGGGCCAGCGUUGCUCGGAAUUACUGGGCGUAAAGGGUUCGUAGGUGGUGCGGCAAGUUGGGAGUGAAAUCUCUGGGCUUAACCCAGAGGCUGCUUUCAAAACUGCCGCGCUCGAGUGCGAGAGAGGCCAGUGGAGUUGCAGGUGUAGCGGUGAAA